UACGUAGGGUGCAAGCGUUAAUCGGAAUUACUGGGCGUAAAGCGUGCGCAGGCGGCUAUGUAAGACAGGUGUGAAAUCCCCGAGCUUAACUUGGGAAUUGCAUUUGUGACUGCAUGGCUAGAGUGUGUCAGAGGGAGGUGGAAUUCCACGUGUAGCAGUGAAAUGCGUAGAUAUGUGGAGGAACACCAAUGGCGAAGGCAGCCUCCUGGGAUAACACUGACGCUCAUGCACGAAAGCGUGGGGAGCAAACAGG
Molecule: ribosomal RNA, 253 nt
Filed under: uncultured bacterium
Lineage: Bacteria
Description: partial 16S ribosomal RNA
Rfam family: Bacterial small subunit ribosomal RNA
Source: RNAcentral